Molecule: ribosomal RNA, 492 nt
Filed under: uncultured bacterium
Lineage: Bacteria
Description: partial 16S ribosomal RNA
Rfam family: Bacterial small subunit ribosomal RNA
Source: RNAcentral
AGUGAACGCUGGCGGUAGGCCUAACACAUGCAAGUCGAACGGCAGCACAGUAAGAGCUUGCUCUUACGGGUGGCGAGUGGCGGACGGGUGAGGAAUACAUCGGCAUCUACUUUUUCGUGGGGGAUAACGUAGGGAAACUUACGCUACUACCGCAUACGAUCUACGGGUGAAAGCAGGGGAUCUUCGGACCUUGCGCGAUUGAAUGAGCCGAGGUCGGAUUAGCUAGUUGGCGGGGUAAAGGCCCACCAAGGCGACGAUCCGUAGCUGGUCUGAGAGGAUGAUCAGCCACACUGGAACUGAGACACGGUCCAGACUCCUACGGGAGGCAGCAGUGGGGAAUAUUGGACAAUGGGCGCAAGCCUGAUCCAGCCAUGCCGCGUGAGUGAAGAAGGCCUUCGGGUUGUAAAGCCCUUUUGUUGGGAAAGAAAAGCAGCAGGUUAAUACCCCGCUGUUCUGACGGUACCCAAAGAAUAAGCACCGGCUAACUUCGUG